GAUGAACGCUGGCGGCGUGCCUAAUACAUGCAAGUCGAGCGAACAGACGAGGAGCUUGCUCCUCUGACGUUAGCGGCGGACGGGUGAGUAACACGUGGAUAACCUACCUAUAAGACUGGGAUAACUUCGGGAAACCGGAGCUAAUACCGGAUAAUAUAUUGAACCGCAUGGUUCAAUAGUGAAAGACGGUUUUGCUGUCACUUAUAGAUGGAUCCGCGCCGCAUUAGCUAGUUGGUAAGGUAACGGCGUACCAAGGCAACGAUGCGUAGCCGACCUGAGAGGGUGAUCGGCCACACUGGAACUGAGACACGGUCCAGACUCCUACGGGAGGCAGCCGUAGGGAAUCUUCCGCAAUGGGCGAAAGCCUGACGGAGCAACUCCGCGUGAGUGAUGAAGGGCUUCGGAUCGUAAAACUCUGUUAUUAGGGAAGAACAAAUGUGUAAGUAACUAUGCACGUCUUGACGGUACCUAAUCAGAAAGCCACGGCUAACUACGUG
This 497-nucleotide ribosomal RNA is filed under the name uncultured bacterium. RNAcentral's name for it is "partial 16S ribosomal RNA". It matches the Rfam family "Bacterial small subunit ribosomal RNA", at positions 28 to 507 of the family's 1533-position model. The record is from RNAcentral.